CAGUCGCCGCGGUAAUACGAAGGGUGCAAGCGUUACUCGGAAUUACUGGGCGUAAAGCGUGCGUAGGUGGUGGUUUAAGUCCGUUGUGAAAGCCCUGGGCUCAACCUGGGAAUUGCAGUGGAUACUGGGUCACUAGAGUGUGGUAGAGGAUAGUGGAAUUUCCGGUGUAGCAGUGAAAUGCGUAGAGAUCGGAAGGAACAUCUGUGGCGAAGGCGACUAUCUGGGCCAACACUGACACUGAGGCACGAAAGCGUGGGGAGCAAACAGGAUUAGAUAUCCCGGUAGUCCCUGUCUCUUAUAC
This 301-nucleotide ribosomal RNA is filed under the name uncultured bacterium. Its description in RNAcentral is "partial 16S ribosomal RNA". It matches the Rfam family "Bacterial small subunit ribosomal RNA", at positions 509 to 807 of the family's 1533-position model. The record is from RNAcentral.